AGAGUUUGAUUCUGGCUCAGGACGAACGCUGGCGGCGUGCUUAACACAUGCAAGUCGAACGGGAGUAUUGAAGAAGCUUGCUUUAGAGAUACUUUAGUGGCGGACGGGUGAGUAACGCGUGAGGAGCUGUCCUAUGCAGGGGGACAACAGCUGGAAACGGCUGCUAAUACCCCAUAAGCCGAGAGGUAAAAGGAUCAAUCCGGCAGAGGAGGUACUCGCGUCCUAUCAGCUAGUAGGUGAGGUAACGGCUCACCUAGGCGAAGACGGGUAGCCGGCCUGAGAGGGCGAACGGCCACACUGGAACUGAGAUACGGUCCAGACUCCUACGGGAGGCAGCAGUGGGGAAUAUUGGGCAAUGGGGGAAACCCUGACCCAGCGACGCCGCGUGGGUGAAGAAAUCCUUCGGGAUGUAAAGCCCUGUUGUAUGGGAAGAGCGGAAGACGGUACCAUACGAGGAAGCCCCGGCAAACUACGUGCCAGCCGCUGC
This 487-nucleotide ribosomal RNA is filed under the name uncultured bacterium. Its description in RNAcentral is "bacterial SSU rRNA". It matches the Rfam family "Bacterial small subunit ribosomal RNA", at positions 8 to 518 of the family's 1533-position model. The record is from RNAcentral.